Long non-coding RNA from Ricinus communis (castor bean), 822 nucleotides. RefSeq lists it as uncharacterized. The transcript has 2 exons. The record is from RefSeq and is a predicted model, not a curated record. NCBI's taxonomy places the organism in Eukaryota, Viridiplantae, Streptophyta, Magnoliopsida, Malpighiales, Euphorbiaceae.
CUAUAAAUAGAGAUCAAUUUGUUAGGAUCAGCAUCCAUUUGAAUAGAUGAAUUGAAGAUAGACAAGAAGAGUGGUCUAGCAUGAAAAUAAGAGCCUUAGUUUGGUAGCCAAGGAUGACUUGCCUGCUGCUACCCAAUUUGUGUUUCCUGUAGAAACAUAAAGACUAUCACUUCAGUUUUCUAUAGAACCCAAAUGUAUGUUUUCAGGCAUGUCACCUUGGCUAAUCUGACAGGCUCUUCUUUGUCAUGCUAGACCUUCUUUUCUUUCUCCAGACAAGCCUAGAUAAUUAAGUCGUAUCUCUACAAUUCCAUCAGAUUCAGGAACUGAAAAAUGAUUGCAUCUGAAGGGGGACAAAAGAAGGUCUAACAUGAAGAAAAGAGUCUUUUUGUUAGCCAAGGAUGACUUGCCCGAUACAUAUGUAAGAGGUUUCAAGAGUGAUACUUGAGCCUUUUCUUGGGUACCGGGCAGUCUCCUUGGCUACACAGACAGCCUCUUUUCAGCCUUUGUUUCCUGACGCCAAUUGAUUUGCAUGGUUAGUUCUGAGUAAUUUCCUAUUGCCAAAGGUGACAAAAACAGUUGUUGAUCUCAGGAUAAUUGGUAGAGAAGAAGAAAAGAAUGAGGGAAAGAAGAAGAAGAUGAUUUUUAGGAUCAUCACUGCUCUGAUACCAACUUGUUAUGACCCAAAGUCAUAAUUUGUGUUUGAAAUGAGAGAAAGAGUUAAAAAGAGAUGAGAUUGGAAGAGAAUAAAAACUAUAUUGUAUUAUGAUCUUUGAUAAUCCUCUUUUACAAUAUGUAGAAGGUUUAUAUACAAAAUUCCAUUAA